RNAcentral lists this long non-coding RNA (2229 nucleotides) under Paramuricea clavata. Lineage: Eukaryota; Metazoa; Cnidaria; Anthozoa; Malacalcyonacea; Plexauridae. The record is from RNAcentral.
GCAAUUUGUGCUGAGCGAAGAUCACUUUGCCUUUCAACUUGCAGAAAUCGUGUUCCUAUACAUGUAUGUGACAUCAUUUGCAACAAUGUACGUACAUGAUUAUUGCACAUUAUAAGUCAUGUUUACGUUGGAAAUGAAAUAUGACAGUUUGUAACCAUAUAAUAUUUCCAAAUAAGGUCAAUGCCUUGUUUAAUUUAAUUAACAAAAUAGAUGAUUAUUUUCUACAUUCCUGAUUCCAUACGGCGCAUUGUGUGAAAUGUAUCGAAAUGCAGCUCAAAAGCGAGCAAGAUAUGUCUGAUCAGGACCGCCGAGAAGGGGGGAGGCAGGGGGGGAGGCAAAUUACCCCGUGCUCCCAGGUUCUGGGGGCCCCUAGAAAAUUUUUGUUGGGACCCAGUCAUUUUUUUGGGUGAAACAUUUCCGCGCAAAGGGCAAGAUUUUUGUUUUUUUUGGCAAAGUACCGAAAUUUCGUAUGAAAAAUAUUGGUCAAGUCACUGGAAAGCAAUUACAACGCAUUAGGGCCCCCUAAAAAUAGGGGCCCCUAAAAAAAAUUUGCUCCGGGCCACCGCCAAGCUCUCGGCGGCCCUGUGUCUGAUGCAAAUAUCUGAACAUUUUUUCUGAAUAUAGGUUAUGAAAUCUUUACGUAGAAACGUCUGUGAUAGUAGAUGCACAAUACUCCCUGUUGGACACCAACGAAGUACAUGCUAUAGAACGUGCUAUAUUGUAAGUAUAGAGACUUAUUAAUCAGAGCGCUGGCUGGCGCAGGAGCUUCGAAUCAAAAUGCGAAACUGUAAUAAAAGUGUGCAUGGGAAUUAGAAACAUAUGCCAGAAAGGGUUGCAUCGGAUAUAUCGAUGUGAAACAUUUCCAGACGUAUACCGGAUACUUUUAUAUAAAGUUUGAUAUUUAGUUUAUAGAUGCUGUAAAUUCUGUAAUGUAAACAAACACUUUAUUUACAUUUUGAACUAAGUUCUACAGUUCUAAAAUAUGAUUAAAUAAUUAUAUCUUAUAUCGAAUUUUUAACAUUAAUUCUUCUGGUUUGCUAUGCUUGUAAAUGAAUACAGACUGGAGAUACGUUUCAAAAAGAUUCGGAAGGUGCGAAAUAUUAGUAACAUUCCAAUGGUCGGGUUCCGACCAUUGGGAAGUAGGUCUGCGCAGAAUGGACUUUACAGCAUCUUUAAGGUAAAAUAAUGAUUUUCAAUGGUUAGAGAAUUAAAGAGGGUGUUUAUGAUUUUUUGACUUGAAGAAAUAGGAAACGACUUCACAGUUAAAUAUAGAAAAAUUUGCAUAAUUGCCUUUGCCAAUGCCCACAUAUUUCAAAGGUAAAAUCCGCUUUUUGGCAUUCUUACUUGGCAAGUUAGAGAUCAAAUUGAUACAGGGCGCAGUAAGGGUAAGCUUGAGAGGGGUGCCAUGUUUCAUUUUUUCAAGCUGUGUCUAUAAUAUAUUGAGUGUAGUGCAAGUGUUUCAUACCAAACCCACAGUUUCAAAAUUUCUACGAAUCAACACUUGUUUAUUUUUAAAGUGAAACCACACUUUAUAGAAGUAAACUAAAGUAUCACUCCUCACAUACACAUGUUGGCGUCUUUGUCCCCCUGCUUCCUCCUACAAUGUUGAUGUUGACAUUCAUUCCACAACGUUUUCACCUAGCAUUUUUAAUAAGCUUUCAACAUUGAGCGGGAGGGAGAGGAGGGAGAGGAGGGAGAGGAUGGAGUAGAGGGAGAGGAGGGAAAAGAGGGAGAGGAGGAAGAGGAGGAAGAGGAGGAAGAGGAGGGAGGGAGGGAUUUGGAAGUUAAAAAUUGCUGUUUUUACACGUUUGUAUUGUGCAAGGAUGGUAUUUCUAUUUCCAUGCGGCUGUUCACAAUAACUUUUGCCAGGAUCGUAGAUAGAAGGACUAAAAAUAGCUUUUUUCCUUUUUCCCUAGUGCUUCCCUAUUUGAUUGUUACCAGAAGAUGCGCAGUUUUGAAUAAAUUUAUGUCUCAAAUAAUAUUUCAUUAUGACUAUACGUAGAUCGCUUUAACGAUGAAAUCGUAUAUACUGUAAUUAGUAUUAAAAAACAUAGGUAUUAUAUUAAAUACAUCAUAUAUUGUAUAAUUUUAAAACAUAAUUUAAUUGAAUUUUUCAUUAAAAUUGUUUUGUGUGGAUACUGACAGAAUCUUUCGCAUUUCGAAUCUGUCGUUUUACGGAAACAAAAAUUCAAGCUUGCAUUGAACAACAUACAUAAUUUUAGUGUGCAG